RNAcentral lists this transfer RNA (75 nucleotides) under Candidatus Blackburnbacteria bacterium RIFCSPHIGHO2_02_FULL_39_13. RNAcentral's name for it is "tRNA-Ala". It matches the Rfam family "tRNA". From Rfam's summary of the family: Transfer RNA (tRNA) molecules are approximately 80 nucleotides in length. Their secondary structure includes four short double-helical elements and three loops (D, anti-codon, and T loops). The record is from RNAcentral. Lineage: Bacteria; Candidatus Blackburniibacteriota. RNAcentral also lists the same sequence under 1 other name.
GGGCCGGUAGCUCAACGGCAGAGCACUUGGCUGGCAGUCAAGGGGUUGAGAGUUCAAAUCUCUUCCGGUCCACUA